CAGGCUUAACACAUGCAAGUCGAGGGGCAGCACGGGUAGCAAUACUUGGUGGCGACCGGCGCAAGGGUGCGUAACGCGUGAGCAACAUGCCCGUAUCAGGGGGAUAAUCCAGGGAAGCUUGGUCUAAUACCCCAUAGUAAUAUUUUCAGGCAUCUGGGGAUAUUUAAAGCUCCGGCGGUUACGGAUUGGCUCGCGUGACAUUAGCUAGAUGGUAAGGUAACGGCUUACCAUGGCUACGAUGUCUAGGGGUUCUGAGAGGAAUAUCCCCCACACUGGAACUGAGACACGGUCCAGACUCCUACGGGAGGCAGCAGUGAGGAAUAUUGGACAAUGGAUGGAAAUCUGAUCCAGCCAUGCCGCGUGCAGGAAGACGGCCCUAUGGGUUGUAAACUGCUUUUAUACGGGAGCAAUAAGGUCUACGAGUAGGCCGAUGAGAGUACCGUAGGAAUAAGCAUCGGCUAACUCCGUGCCAGCAGCCGCGGUAAUACGGAGGAUGCGAGCGUUAUCCGGAUUUAUUGGGUUUAAAGGGUGCGUAGGCUGUUAUAUAAGUCAGUGGUAAAUAUUCGGGCUCAACCGGGAUACUGCCAUUGAUACUGUAUAGCUGGAAUAUGGUUGCUGUGAGUGGAAUGUGUGGUGUAGCGGUGAAAUGCAUAGAGAUCACACAGAAUAUCGAUUGCGAAGGCAACUCACAAAGCCAUUAUUGACGCUGAUGCACGAAAGUGUGGGGAUCAAACAGGAUUAGAUACCCUGGUAGUCCACACUGUAAACGAUGAUAACUAGCUGUCGGCGAUACACAGUCGGUGGCCAAGCGAAAGCGAUAAGUUAUCCACCUGGGGAGUACGACCGCAAGGUUGAAACUCAAAGGAAUUGACGGGGGCCCGCACAAGCGGAGGAACAUGUGGUUUAAUUCGACGCAACGCGAAGAACCUUACCAGGGCUUGACAUCCCGUGACAGCCAUGGAACUUCUUAGUUUACUAAGACACAGAGACAGGUGGUGCAUGGUUGUCGUCAGCUCGUGUCGUGAGAUGUUGGGUUAAGUCCCGCAACGAGCGCAACCCCUACAGCCAGUUGCCAGCACAUAAAGGUGGGAACGGGGACUCUGGUGAGACUGCCGGGGACAACUCGGAGGAAGGUGGGGAUGACGUCAAAUCAUCAUGCCCCUUAUGUCUUGGGCUACACACGUGCUACAAUGGCCGGUACAAAGGGCUGCGAAACCGUAAGGUGAAGCGAAUCCCAUAAAGCCGGUCUCAGUUCGGAUCGUGGGCUGCAACCCGCCCACGUGAAGCCGGAGUUGCUAGUAAUCGCGAAUCAGCAUGUC
RNAcentral lists this ribosomal RNA (1319 nucleotides) under uncultured bacterium. Its description in RNAcentral is "partial 16S ribosomal RNA". It matches the Rfam family "Bacterial small subunit ribosomal RNA", at positions 43 to 1358 of the family's 1533-position model. The record is from RNAcentral.